CGGAAGGGCCGCCGGGGCGAUGCGCCGAACGGGAGCUCCGUCCGUCUUUUGGGCGAUCGCUCUGAUCAGCUUUCCCGGUGAGAAGUCAUUUUCUGGACCUUUUUCCCCUCUCUCAAAACCUUAUAAUCGGGAUCCUAGGAUCGGAGGUGGAUCGAAGAAUCAAGGUUGGAUGCGAGGGGAGUCUCGACGCCUCGGGGUGUUCCCAGGUGCCCGCCAGAGUCCCGGUUAUUCCCACAGGACACUUGGGACUUACGAAGGGUAAACGGGAGCGCAACGACGCGCUCGAGUCGCGGGACUUCCGAGGCGGAACGCCAUCCAGGAGAACGGCGGAAAGGACGGAUUCCCCUAAUAAGGGGUCCGUAGGUUUGAAAGACCGACGGGACAAAUCUGGGGCGUCCUCGGCGGAAACGGCCGCGUUUCCGAAUACCGAGGUGGCUACCGACCCAAUCCCGAGUGUUUCUUCGAGUCCUCCUCGAAGUACGACCUCGAGUACCGAAAUCCCUCCCGACGCUCACGGUGCGGAAUAUCCAGGACGGACGCCCGAGCCCCCGACGUUCGAGGAGCACGAAAUCCUCCCAGUUUUGGACAAGUUUUUCGAGUUCGGGGGCGAGUUCUUCCUCGGGAAGAUAAAGCUAGAGCUGAAGAGGCAGCUUAUGGAGACCGGCCUGCUCGACGCCCUGAGCGAAAAAUUCAAGAUUCUCCUCGAAAUGGCGGACGGCGACGUCAACGCCGCGACAGACAAAAUGCGCUCGCAGCUCAAAGAGAGCCUAAACAGGCCCUCGACCCGCGAGAAGAUGCGGAAGCUUUUAUUUAAAUUCGGGCGCAGGCUCGACGUCACGGAUUUUUAGCAGAGGUCCCCUCGGAGUAGAAAAACUAAAUAAAAAUUCCCCCUUUUGGAAAAA
RNA transcript from Orussus abietinus, 902 nucleotides. RefSeq lists it as uncharacterized. The record is from RefSeq and is a predicted model, not a curated record. The transcript is spliced from 3 exons. Lineage: Eukaryota; Metazoa; Arthropoda; Insecta; Hymenoptera; Orussidae.